RNAcentral lists this long non-coding RNA (9991 nucleotides) under Gossypium barbadense (sea-island cotton). RNAcentral describes it as "long non-coding RNA (GBAR_LNC008844)". Lineage: Eukaryota; Viridiplantae; Streptophyta; Magnoliopsida; Malvales; Malvaceae. The record is from RNAcentral.
UUCUUAAAAUGAAAUUUUUUUUCAUCUAAAUCCUUUAAAUUUUAAAAAAAAUUUAAAUUAGUAAAUGUAAAGUUGCACUUUGACGUCCCUUAAAAAUAUAAAAAUUUGAUUUAAUCCUUUAAAAAUUAUAAAAAUAUAUUAAAAUGGUAAAAUUACUUUUUUACUAUUAUAAAGAAUACAAUUUAAUUUCGACCAUUAACAAUUUUUUUUUUAAUUUUUCCGUUGCCUAGAAUAGAAGUAGAACUGUAGUGUGCUGCAUCUGGAGGUUUACCUCGAGUAGGUUUUACAUCUAUUAAAUUUCUUUGAAUGUCUUCCUUCAUCUUCUUUUAUACAAUAACCCCAAAAAUAAAAACAAAAUAAUGAGUGUAAGACCCAAUUUUAGUCCGGGCUACCUAAUUCCAGCCCAAUAAAUAAAACCCAAAUAAUCCACAUAAAAAAAUCCAAAAUUACAAAAACAAUUAACCCAAACAGCCCCAAAAUACCGCAAACCCAAAACACUUUUCAGCAAACCCUAAACACUAGAAGCCUCAUUUGCGCCGCAGCCACGAUCGCCUCCGCCAUACACGCGCGCCCUGCUCCACGUUCGCACCCACGUACCACGUCGCCCUCCUCCGCGUCUUCAUGACCUGCAAGUUGAACAAGAAAACAACAAGAAACAGUUUUGUACUUGGCUAUAAAACCUUUGAAUUUUUCAUUGUUUGGGGGGGUUCUUUCUUUUUUUGAGAGAAAUACAACACAGAUUGAGGAAAUCAAACAAAUAUACAGAAAUCAACAAAAGCAAUAGAAUACGUUUCAAAGGUUAUUUAUCGUCGUUUCUACUCUGUUUUAUUUUUUUUUUAUUUUUAUUCGAAUCUACAAGUAUAAAAUAUAAGAGAGAACGAGAGGCUUACCGGAGUUAUAUCGCGUUCACACCGUCGGUGGGCCUUGCUCCGCUGGUCACGAUCAGAUUUUGGAAAUGGUUGGGUUGAAAUGAACCUUUCGGCUGGAGAAUAAAGGGAGAGUAAGGGAGAUGAGAUAAUGUCUAAGGCAUUUGGGUUUUUUUUUUUUUAAAUAAAAGUUAAAAAGUUUUCUUUGAAGCAUAAAUUUUAAAGCAAGUUUUAGGUAAUAAAAUGAAACAGCAAUUGGGGUGGGGGGGGGGGGGGGGAGUUUGUCCACGUCUUUUGGCUAGGAGUAGGGGAUUUGCGCAUUUAGUCCCCCACUUUCGUACCAAUGUUCAUUUCGAUCAUUAAUUUUGCAUUGUUCUCAUUACUAUUUUUCUGUUCGUCGUAUUUUGCGAUUUAUUCGUUUAAAAUUUUCUUUCAUAUAUUUCUAUAUUUAAAGAUCUAUAUAUGUUCAACUCAAUACGAUUAUACAUGUAUAUAUGUAUCUUAUACUAAAGUAUUUUUACUCAAAAUAUGCGUUAUUGAUUUCCUAUUAUUUUAUGUAAAUAUUUCUUUUUUUUGUAUAUAUAUUAUUGAUUUUAUAUUAUUUUAUGUAUAUAUAUUUUCUUCUAAGGACCCUAUUUUUAUUGUAUAUUUUAUUUAUUUUAAAUACUUUCAUCUUUGUUUUUAUAUAUAAAAUUUUCAUUUCAUAUAUAUUAUUUAUUUAGAUUGACAAAUACUAUGUUAUAUAUUACUUAUAUAUAUACAUUAUAUAUUUUGAAAUUUCAUUUAUAUAUUAUUAUUUCAUAUAUGAUUUUUAUUUUAUUAUUUUUUUGUCUAUUUCGAACUUUCAUGUAUGUUACUUUAAGGUUUUAUAUAUGUUUGUUUGUUUGACGAUCACUUGCCACAUGUUAUCUGUGUUAAUUUGCUUGGAACUUCUUUAAAUUUGCUUUUAAUUCAUUAGCCUUCAAAUGUGAAUAUUGGUAUUUUUACAAUAUAUGGUAUGUCGUUUUUGCAUGUAUCCUAAUUUGUUCCUUUGUAUUUUCUCAUUAUUUAUCCAUGUCAUAUUACUUCUUUUACUUUAAAGUGAACCGAAUGGAUAUACUUUGAGCUGGUUUUGUAAUUAUUUAUUUAAAAAACUUCUGAAACAAGGCAAUGUUCUAUGUUUGGAAAUUCGAGAAAUCGUGCCCUAACGUGCUGGGUUUCGUUUUUUCGUCAGACCAAAUAAUUGAAUACCCUUUUCGUUGCAUUUUGGAAAUCGUGAGGAGAUCUCAAUUUUUGGAGGCUUAAAAUAUUGUGUCCUAACGUGCUGGAUGUGGUAUUUUAUUCCUUUGGAAUGAGCAAAUCUUAAAAUCCAACUCGAGUUGUGCACACACUUUUAAGGGGAUCGUAUUUUAGUGUUUUUUUUUAAAUUUUCAACAUUAGGACAUAAAUUAAUCAAUUAGGUACCAAUUUUGGGCGUUACGAGGGUGCUAAUCCUUCCUCGUAUGUAACCGACUCCCAAACCCAUUUCUUGAUUUUUCGUAGGCCAAAAUCCAUAUUUUAAUAAAAUUAUUUAUUAGGUGAUCCGAUCACACCUAAACCAAAAAAGAUUGAUGGCGAUUCCAUACCUCGUUUUAAAGUCGACCCCCGUUUUUUUUUAAACAUAAAAAAAAUGGUUUCGACAGCUUGGCGACUCCGCUGGGGACCAAUAAGAGAGUCAAGCCGUAAAAUUGAUUUUUAAUAUGAUCUUUUCGUUGCAUCUCAUGAGUUUUAUGGUUUUUAUCAUUUUAUUUAUUUUUUGAGUUUUGAGUUUUUAUGUCCCCUCGCAUUACAUAUUGCAUGACCGUUGUGGUUACAUUUUUUAAGUGGGAGUGAGAAACUAUGCAUUCGUGAGGUUUUCACCUCCGCAUGCGCUAGUAGAUUACUUCCGGGAUACAUUCGUACCUAUGUCUUCGUAAGAUUUUUAUCUCUGCAUGGUCAUAGGGAAAGGUAUUCCCCUGAUCUGAACUCGAUCCAUAUGAGCCUAUAAUGGGUGAGGAUUGAGGAAUCUGCUGGUUCAUGUAUCCUUUCUCUAGAACCAAACCACAUAUAGAGAGACUUAGGAACCCACCUUAGGUGGAGCCAUGCCCAAAUUUAGUGGUCACCUGAAUAUGUGCUUUAUUUGUUAUUUAUUUCUUCUGUACUAAAGUGUUUUGUUUUGUUUUGUUUAUGACUGCAUUGUAUUACAUCAUCAUAGAAAGGACGUGUUGAUUCAUAUUCGAUUGCUAAAUAGAACAGUUUGCCAUGAGAAAACGGAUUUCUUAAUAAAGUGGAUUAUAAUACGGUUGUCUGAAUAUGGUCCAAGUAAGUACAACGAAAGAAAGCUGAUAGUUUGUAGAGGAAAACAAGACUUUGCCCGAGGAUUCAAGCUGAUAAAGAUUGUUCGAGAGCCGUCGCGUCCCGACUUUCUUAAAGGAGCUAAUCAACAUUGCGAGGAUAAUAAGUCGCGGUCUGGAUCAAACAAAAAGGAGCUAGUGGAGGCAUCUAUUGGAAGUUUACGAGAUUUGACUUUUACGAAGAAAGAAAAUCGGUGUCUUCGCCUAGAACAUGAGGGCAGGGCCGCAUAUGUAAUCCGUUUUAUGUAAAGGAAUUUGUUUUCUAGAAAAGUUGUUUUAAUAGAAUUGAAUUCAGAAUCAACGCCUUUCUUUCUUUUGUAUUCAUUUCAUGCAUUUGCAUUGCAUUGCAUCAUUUGCAUUUGAUUUUUAUAAAAAGACCUUAAUUAAUUGAAAUCAUUUUAGUUAAUCUAGAAACCGAUAAGAACUUACCCACCAAGCGUCGUUACGGUACCCGUGCUAAGACAAAAGAUAUGGACCAAAGAUUGGAAAGACUUAAAAAACUUCAAAGAGAGAUGCAAGACCAGUUACAAAGGCAAAUGCAAGAGCAAUUGAUGAGGAUACGGUAAGAUAUGAGAGACCAAGUGCUAGAGUCUCAAAGGAAUAUGAUGAACCAGUUAUCCCAAUUGUUGACUAAGGGACUAGAAAAGAGGGAAAGCUCCAUGAUCAAUGCUGGGGUAGACAAUGAGCACCUUUCUAUCCUCUGGGUUUCACUCCGACAAAUGCACAGGCAUGUCCACAAGGUGUACCAAUUAUAAGAACUCAUCAAAAUCAGGCCAGUACCUCAGCACCAGUGAAUUACCUGAUAGGCUCAGACUCCAAUCUACGGGGCAAUCCAACUACCCCUGUAGUUCCUGAUUUGAACAAAAUGGAAAAAGUAAAGAUGGAACUGCCAAAACAACUCGAUGAUCGGUAUAGGUGGUUGAAGGAAAAAUUCAAGGCGAUGAAAAAUGCUGAUGAUUAUUGCAGAAUUGAUGCCAGGGACUUAAGCUUGGUUCCAGACUUAAUACUUCUUUACAAGUUCAAGAUGCCUGAAUUUGAAAAGUAUAAUGGGACUAGCUGUCCCAAAGCUCACAUUACCAUGUUUUGUAGACGAAUGACUGGGUAUGUCAAUAAUAACCAAUUAUUGAUUCACUGUUUCCAAGAAAGUCUGGUUGGGGCAGCAUCCAAAUGGUACAACCAAUUAAGCCGUACCUAAAUCAAUUUAUGGAAAGAUCUAGCACAAACUUUCAUGAAACAUUAUAGUCAUGUGAUGGAUAUGACUCCUGAUAGGAUUAUUUUACAGAGCAUGGAAAAGAAACAGAAUGAGAGUUUCCAGCAAUACGCCCAAAGGUGGAGGGAAGUUGCCAUACAAGUUCAGCCACCUCUCCUAGAAAAAGAGACUACCAUGCUUUUCAUCAAUACUCUUAAAGCCCCGUUCAUUAACCAUAUAUUGGGAAGCGCUACCUUGAGCUUUUUAGAUAUGGUAAUGUUUGGUGAAUUGAUUGAAAACGCAAUAAGGAGCGGAAAAAUAGAUCCAAGAGAAAGCGCUAAGAGGUCAACCCAAAAGAGAAAAAAAAGAAGUAAAUAUCGUGAGCAUGCCUUCCAAAUUGGUCAAUGUAAGCCAGCCGAGGGCUGUAACCACUAGGUAUCUAUCCGAAUGACAUAUCGCCGAAUCUGAAUGAUAUAUCUGAAGAGGGAACCAGGAAAUGAAAAUUUCCAAACCCUUAUGUACUUAGGAGUGUUUUGAAUAAUGGGAUUGUGGAAGAUAUCCCUGUAUUUUUAGAGCUAAUCUAGAAUAAUGUUCAAAAUACGCUUAUUGCUUUAAGCCUAGGGGCAAUAAGAACCCUUUUGUGAAAUAGGCUUGUGUUCAAAAUCUUUACUUCAAUCAAAAUGCAUCUUUUUGAGUAAAUGUUCUUUCAUUCGUGACAUUUUUUUUGUUCUUUGGACUGGCUUUUAAAUAUUCUUUUAUUCUUCAUUAAUGAUCAUAUCAUACAAAUAAUCAUCCUUAGAAUCAUUUAUUCUUUGGAAAUAUGCCUUUGUACCUACAAUAAGUCCCUAGAUAUCAACAAUAUGAACAACGCUGUAACUGACUCCUUUUUAGGGUAAGAUAUGUGUUUAAGCGAAUAUCAGGACUUUGAAGAUGGCAGAGAUUGUAACUUAUCUCAUGAUUUGUUAAUAAUGAUAGUGUAGGAUGACAAACAGAUCCUACUCUACAAAGGGACAAUGGACAUUGCGAGCCUAGGAAAGAGGUGGAGGUCGAAGCCUAGCCCACCUUAAAGCUAAAGUAAAUCGUCAUUGAGUUAUUCCAAGAAUUCAAAGAGGUUUUCGCGUGAUCACGUCAAGGUAUAUCUAAGAUAUUAAGACCUGUGAACGAUAAAAAAUGUCUAUACGGUGUCAGACGGACACAUAUUAAUAGUUUCACCGUAGCCACGCUAAUCAUGAGGUUUAGGUACUGUUGAUCCACCAUGGAAGGGGAUUGCAUCAGUUAUUUAGUGAGACAAUAUUCAUGUACCUUAUUCAUUUCUUCAUAGAUUUUCUCUAUGUGGGGCAUGGGUUUUAUCAGGUCAUUCUCAUCUAAUAUACAUCGAUUUAUCUUGGUAGUCGUCGCUGACUUCACGAAGAGGUGAAGGUCGCUUCAUAUGCCAAUAUUACAUAGUUGAUAGUCAUCAAAUUUCAGAAAAGAGUGCCGACAAAUAAUGUCAGAAAAGAUCAUACAACUACACAAUGUCAAAAUCUUGCAGUCUAUCCAAAGAUCAGACACCAUAUCACAGUGCAACAAAGGUAGCCAAAAAGAAAAAUACAAAAAAAGGGAAUAAAAUAAAAUAAAACGAAGGUCAUAGUGAAAGGUGACUCAGACUUGUAAAGAUUGGCAUAAAGAAGCUACCUUUUAUGCUUAUCGAACGUUGACUAGGACUCAUUGGGGAAACAUAUUGCUCAUUGGUUUAUGGGAUAAAAAUGGUUUUAAAGAUGAGAUUCUUUUCCUCUGAGUCUUGUUAGAGUUACAAUUGGAUAGGGCAGAAUAGAUUUAAGCUCGAUAUGAUCAGUUGAAUUCGAAGAGAGGAGAUUCUGCCGUGGUCUAAUACACUAGAAAUGAAUGAUGUGAGCUUACAACAAAGAGGUUCAUCCUAAAAAAUUCCAUGAGGGGAACUUGAUAUUGAAGAAGAUCUUUCCUAUACAAAAGGACUUCAAAGGAAGAAAUAUGCCAAACCAGGAGGAUUGAUAUUGACUAAGAUGGAUGGUAAGGACCUGCCCAAUCCGGUGAACUCAGAUUCAGUCACAGUUAAUGGUUUCAAAAAAACACAAAAAAGAAAAGAAAAAGAAAUAGGAGAGGCCAAGGCGAAAACCCACAAAGGGCGCCUUGAGACCAAAGAGGAUUUGAGUUGAAAACCAGAAAAUGGUGGCUCAAAUUUGGACCAAAGAUGGGGCAAGUGGUAGUCUUGCUAUGCCUAAAUUAACAAUAAAGAAGUAUGCUACGUCUGGGGGAAUCGACAAAGUGCUCUGGAUCCCCUAAACACAUAUUGAGCUCAAAAUGGUCCUCAAGAAGUUUGGACAGAGAAGCUCAAGCUGCGAUAUCUGGGGCACCUAGUUUUCUAUUUUACCAAUUUUUGAAUUUGUUAUCUUUGAUUACCUUAUUCUUUUUACGUCCCAAUAAGUUUCCUUCUUAAUUGCACUUGCUAUCUUUAGUUGACUUAUUUGCUUCGAGUUAUAUUUCUGGUUCAUUGUUAUUUUUUAAGUAUUUUUGCAUUGCAAUAAUGAUUAGUGGACUAAUAAUACUUUUGUAAAAGAAGUUUCACAUAUUACUCUAGAAGUUUUUAAAUAAUAUAAGAGCUUGAAAAUGACUAUUGUUUAAAAAUCACCAAGCUUAGGGGUUGGAAAUAUUUAAGCCCAAAUUGAAAUUAUUUCCUUGAGUUUUCUGUCAAAGAUAUUGGUUGAGCAAAAAAGAAAAUUACAUUGGUGUUACAAUCCCGGCAAAGAACGAGUGAUGAGCUUAUUCUCGAGAGAAAGAAAAUGAUAUUCUGUAUUCAUGCAGAUAUCAAGCAUAUACAUCUGGUCGUUACACCUAUGGAAUGGUGUAACAGAUCAGAUGGAUUGAAGAUGAUGCAAAUCCUAUACCUCUGAGUUGCAGCAGGAUGGAUAGAAAAAACCAAAUGUUAUUCCCCUAAAGUUGCAGUGGGAAGUACAAACUUUAUGUCCCAGAAGGUACAGUGGAGGGGACUUUGAAACUACAGUGGGGCAAGCCAGUUCGGCAAAAUGGGUUGUUUCUGUGGGUUUUCGUUGGAAAUGCUAAUCUAGCAGAAAGGCAGCGUAAUACUACAGUGAUAAAACUCUGAUUAAUAACGAAUGAUGACACUUAAAGUUUUUAAAAAAAAAAAACCAUUUUCAUGACUUUUCUACAUUCAUAUCAUUUAUAACACAUUUGGUUAGGAGCAUCUGAUUCAUAACAUUCUAAUCAUUUGGCAUAAACAUAGGCAUGAAACCGAGUCUGCAGGGUAUGUUCUUCAGAGGAUAGUAUAGCGACAUCGGUGAAAUUUACAGAUCUUAUCUCCAUGUAUCGGCUAUGGAGCAGGUUGAAAAUGGCGAGUCUUAUCUCUAUGUAUCAGCUAUGGAGCAGAUUUUGGCUACCAGCCUUAUCUCUCUAAGGUAGCAAAAGAGCAGGUUGAAGAUGCAUGUCUUAUCUUCCUGAGGUAGCAAGGAAGCAGACUAAAAUUUACAGAUAUUAUCUCCAUGUAUCGGCUAUGAAGUAGAUUGAAAAUGGCGAGUCUUGUCUCCAUGUAUCGGCUGUGGAGCAGAUUUUAGCCACCAGUCUUAUCUCUCUAAGGUAGCAAGAGAGCAGGUUGAAGAUACAGGUCUUAUCUUCCUAAGGUAGCAAAGAAGCAGACUGAAAUUUACAGAUUUAUCUCCAUGUAUUGGCUAUGGAAUAUAUCAAAAAUGACGAGUCUUAUCUCUAUGUAUCAGCUAUGGAGUAGAUUUUAGCCACUAACCUUAUUUCUCUAAGGUAGCAAGAGAGCAGGUUGAAGAUAUAGGUCUUAUCUUCCUGAGGUAGCAAGGAAGCAGACUGAAAUUUACAGAUCUUAUCUCCAUGUAUCGGCUAUAGAGUAGAUAAAAAAUAGCGAGUCUUAUCUCCAUGUAUUGACUAUGGAGCAGAUUUUAGCCACCAACCUUAUCUCUCUAAGGUAGCAAGAGAGCAGGUUGAAGAUACAGGUCUUCUCUUCCUAAGGUAGCAAGGAAGCAGACUAAAAUUUACAGAUCUUAUCUCCAUAUAUCGGCUAUGGAGCAGAUCGAAAAUGGCGAUUCUUAUUUCCAUGUAUCGGCUAUGCAGCAGAUUUUAGCCACCAACCUUAUCUCUCUGAGGCAGCAAGAGAGCAGGUUGAAGAUAUAAAUCUUAUCUUCCUGAGGUAGCAAGUAAGCAGACUAAAAUUUACAGAUCUUAUCUCCAUGUAUCGGCUAUAGAACAGAUCGAAAAUGGCGACUCUUAUCUCUAUGUAUUGGCUAUGGAGCAGAUUUUGGCCACCAGCCUUAUCUCUUUGAGGUAGUAAGAGAGCAGGUUGAAGAUACAAGUCUUAUUGUCCUGAGUUACAGUGGAGUAGACUGAAAGUUACAGAUAUUAUCUCCUUAAGCAGUAGUAGAGCAGAUCGAAGACGGUGAAUCUUAUCUCCAUGUAUCAGCAAUGGAGCAGAUUUAAGCCACUAGCCUUAUCUCCCUGAAGUUGCAGUGGAGCAGGCUCAAAAUUACAAGUUUUAUCUCCCUGGGGUCACAAUGGAGCCUACUGAGGACAUAGAGUGGAUUAAAAGCACAAUUUCUAUACUUCUAAAGAUGCAGUGGGUUGGAAUGCGAUUACUUGGGGAAGAGGUGCAUAAAGAAGUCGAGAUGUAACAAGACCGGGAAAAAUUGACUCUUUUUGUGGUCUUUGCUUCAUUCUCGUUACACGACAACAAGCAAAGAAGGGCAGCUGUAAGACCCAAUUUUAGCCCGAGCUACCUAACUCCAGCCCAAUAAAUAAAACCCAGAUAAGCCACAUAAAAAAAUCCAAAAUUACAAAAACAAUUAACCCAAACAGCCCUAAAAUACCCCAAACCCAAAACACUUUUUAGGAAACCUUAAACACUAGAAGCCUCCUUUGCGCCGCAGCCACGAUCGGCUCCGCCAUACACGGGCGCCCUGCUCCACGUCUGCACCCACGUACCACGUCGCCCUCCUCUAGGUCUUCAUGACUUGUAAGUUAAACAAGAAAACAACAAGAAGCGGUUUUGUACUUGGCUAUAAAGCCUUUGAAUUUUUCAUUAUUUGGGGGGGUUCUUUCUUUUUUUGAGAGAAAUAGAACACAGAUUGAGGAAAUCAAACAAAUAUAAAGAAAUUAACAAAAGCAAUAGAACACAUUUCAAAGGUUAUUUAUCAUUGUUUCUACUCUGUUUUGGUUUUUUUUAUUCGAAUCUACAAGUAUAAAGCAUAAGAGAGAACGAGAGGCUUAUUGGAGUUAUAUCGCGUUCACGCCGUCAGUGGGCCUUGCUCCGCUGGUCACGAUUAGAUUUUGGAAAUGGUUGGGUUGAAAUGAGCCUUUCGGCUGGAGAAUAAAGGGAGAGUGAGGGAGAUGAGAUAAUGUCCAAGGCAUUUGGGUUUUUUUUAAAUAAAAGUUAAAAAGUUUUCUUUGAAGCACAAAUUUUAAAGCAGGUUUUAAGUAAUAAACUGAAACAACAAUUGGGGUGAGGGGGAAGUUUGUCCGCGUCUUUUGGCUAUGAGUGGGGGAUUUGCGCAUUUAGUCCCCCACUUUCGUACCAAUGUUCAUUUCGAUCAUUA